CACGUAGUUAGCCGGGGCUUCUUAGUCAGGUACUGUCACUUUCUUCCCUGCUGAUAGAGCUUUACAUACCGAGAUACUUCAUCGCUCGCGCGGCGUCGCUGCAUCAGGGUUUCCCCCAUUGUGCAAUAUUCCCCACUGCUGCCUCCCGCAGGAGUCUGGGCCGUGUCUCAGUCCCAAUGUGGCCGGCCGCCCUCUCAGGCCGGCUACUGAUCGUCGCCUUGGUGGGCCGUUACCCCGCCAACGAGCUAAUCAGACGCGGGCCCAUCCCAUACCACCGGAGUUUUCCCCAGGAAGCUAUGCACGCCUCCGUGGGCGUAUGCGUAUUAGCAGUCCGUUCCGGCUGUUACGUCCCCGGUAGUCGGGGCAGGUUCGCCCACGUCGUUACUCCACCCGUCCGCCACUCACGACAGCUACUCGUUCCCUCCCGGAAGGGACUCCCGUGCACGCCGCUUCGUCGACUUGCAGUGUAGUAAGC
RNAcentral lists this ribosomal RNA (475 nucleotides) under uncultured Lachnospiraceae bacterium. RNAcentral's name for it is "partial 16S ribosomal RNA". Lineage: Bacteria; Bacillati; Bacillota; Clostridia; Lachnospirales; Lachnospiraceae. The record is from RNAcentral.